UUUAUUGGAGAGUUUGAUCCUGGCUCAGGAUGAACGCUGGCGGCGUGCCUAAUACAUGCAAGUCGAGCGAAUGGAUUGAGAGCUUGCUCUCAAGAAGUUAGCGGCGGACGGGUGAGUAACACGUGGGUAACCUGCCCAUAAGACUGGGAUAACUCCGGGAAACCGGGGCUAAUACCGGAUAACAUUUUGAACCGCAUGGUUCGAAAUUGAAAGGCGGCUUCGGCUGUCACUUAUGGAUGGACCCGCGUCGCAUUAGCUAGUUGGUGAGGUAACGGCUCAC
RNAcentral lists this ribosomal RNA (280 nucleotides) under Bacillus thuringiensis. RNAcentral's name for it is "partial 16S ribosomal RNA". It matches the Rfam family "Bacterial small subunit ribosomal RNA", at positions 1 to 268 of the family's 1533-position model. The record is from RNAcentral. Lineage: Bacteria; Bacillati; Bacillota; Bacilli; Caryophanales; Bacillaceae.